Molecule: long non-coding RNA, 1226 nt
Organism: Oncorhynchus masou masou (cherry salmon)
Lineage: Eukaryota; Metazoa; Chordata; Actinopteri; Salmoniformes; Salmonidae
Exons: 4
Source: RefSeq, a predicted model, not a curated record
UCUCACACUUACCCAUUUAUUAACUUUGUGGGGCUCUUGUUUAAGUGGAAAAUCACUCCGUCCAAUAAAGGAGGAGAAGAAAGAGCCCAAUUCACCAUCGUUUUUUUUUAUUUCCGUUUUUCAUGUCUUGUCUGAAUCGCAUUCUCAUUGGAGGGUCGCCUUUUUUUUCGUCCGUUUUUUGGGGGGUCGUUGGGAAAAUUUCUCCGGUGAGUUAUUGGUGUGGGAUAAUGGACAGGACACAUCCUAAUUCAGGAAUUUCUCUCUGUUCUUUCUUCUUUCUACUUCCUCUCUCUGUCCGUGGAUACGGUGGUCCCGGCGAAGUUAAGACACUCCAGAACAGAGCCUAUAAGAUGAACGUCAACGUGAAAGGCUUGGGAGGUGAAGAUCAAGUCAUGCGUCCUCCGAAACAUGACCCACCAAACUGUGCUUCUUAACACUCGCCCGCUUAACCCGGAAGCCAGCCGCACCAAUAUGUCGGAGGAAACACCAUUUACCCUAUGACCGGGGUCAGCCUGCAGGCCCCCGGCCUGCCACAAGGAGUCGCUACACCGCGACGAGCCAAGACCUCCCGGCCAAACCCUCCCCUAACCUAUGGGACUCCCAAACACAGCCGGUUGUGAUACAGCCCAGGACCAAACCAGGACCAUGCAGGCUGGACGCCCCUGCAGAGGCGUGUAACCAUGGCAGCAGUGCAUGUGUGGAGGCCCUGCUGUCCCUCACCUGAACGGCCAGGCAGGCGGAGUCAGUCUGCUACACGAUGCUCUGUGGACACACAGACAUCGACAAGAUGCUCCAGCAUGCAGGAUCUGCUGCAGCAGAAAGAUGGCCAUGGCCGGACUGCACUGGAGCUGGUUUCAAAUGCCAUGCUGAGGGAGGAGCUUUGAUGCAGCGCCCUGACUGGAGAAGUGGCCCUGGAGGCAAUGAGGUCAGGGGCCUGCCCUUCCUGGAGGCCUGCUCCUGCCUGCUGACCCAUUUGCUCUUCAACCCCCCUACUUCCUCCUCCUCCUCUAGAACGUGCCCUGGGAUGAAUCCCGGCCCACAUGUCAAACUGAUUGUGUCAUUCAUAGUCUGUUUCAGGGGCCAUUUUGUUUUCGAUUAUAUUUCUUCUUACUCUUUUUUUAGCAAUUUUUCACACUUGUUCAUGUUAUUUUGUGUUAUGUCAGCAGUGUUUUUAUAGAUUAUGUAUAAAUACACUGCUCAAGAAAAUAAAGGGAACACUAAAAUAA